RNAcentral lists this ribosomal RNA (301 nucleotides) under uncultured bacterium. RNAcentral's name for it is "partial 16S ribosomal RNA". It matches the Rfam family "Bacterial small subunit ribosomal RNA", at positions 509 to 807 of the family's 1533-position model. The record is from RNAcentral.
CAGUAGCCACGGUAAUACGAAGGGGGCUAGCGUUGUUCGGAAUUACUGGGCGUAAAGCGCACGUAGGCGGACAUUUAAGUCAGGGGUGAAAUCCCGGGGCUCAACCCCGGAACUGCCUUUGAUACUGGGUGUCUAGAGUAUGGAAGAGGUGAGUGGAAUUCCGAGUGUAGAGGUGAAAUUCGUAGAUAUUCGGAGGAACACCAGUGGCGAAGGCGGCUCACUGGUCCAUUACUGACGCUGAGGUGCGAAAGCGUGGGGAGCAAACAGGAUUAGAUACCCGCGUAGUCCCUGUCUCUUAUAC